UACGUAGGGUGCAGGCGUUAAUCGGAAUUACUGGGCGUAAAGCGUGCGCAGGCGGCUUCCUAAGUCAGAUGUGAAAUCCCCGGGCUCAACCUGGGAACUGCGUUUGAAACUGGGAGGCUAGAGUGCGGCAGAGGGGGAUGGAAUUCCGCGUGUAGCAGUGAAAUGCGUAGAUAUGCGGGGGAACACCGAUGGCGAAGGCAAUCCCCUGGACCUGUACUGACGCUCAUGCACGAAAGCGUGGGGAGCAAACAGG
This 253-nucleotide ribosomal RNA is filed under the name uncultured bacterium. Its description in RNAcentral is "partial 16S ribosomal RNA". It matches the Rfam family "Bacterial small subunit ribosomal RNA", at positions 524 to 776 of the family's 1533-position model. The record is from RNAcentral.